GACGAACGCUGGCGGCGUGCUUAACACAUGCAAGUCGAACGGAAAGGCCCUGCUUUUGUGGGGUGCUCGAGUGGCGAACGGGUGAGUAACACGUGAGUAACCUGCACUUGACUUUGGGAUAACUUCAGGAAACUGGGGCUAAUACCGGAUAGGAGCUCCUGCUGCAUGGUGGGGGUUGGAAAGUUUCGGCGGUUGGGGAUGGACUGGCGGCUUAUCAGCUUGUUGGUGGGGUAGUGGCUUACCAAGGCUUUGACGGGUAGCCGGCCUGAGAGGGUGACCGGACCCAUUGGGACUGGGAUGCGGCCCAGACUCCUACGGGAGGCAACAGUGGGGAAUAUUGCACAAUGGGCGGAAGCCUGAUGCAGCAACGCCGCGUGCGGGACGACGGCCUUCGGGUUGUAAACCGCUUUCGCCUGUGACGAAGCGUGAGUGACGGUAAUGGGUAAAGAAGCACCGGCUAACUACGUG
RNAcentral lists this ribosomal RNA (468 nucleotides) under uncultured bacterium. RNAcentral describes it as "partial 16S ribosomal RNA". It matches the Rfam family "Bacterial small subunit ribosomal RNA", at positions 28 to 507 of the family's 1533-position model. The record is from RNAcentral.